UUAUCGUAUUGCAGAGGCGCGAGGGCUGUCGCUGACCUUUUCGAAGGUCGUGCACGCCCGAGCGCUCUNGCCCACAAUCCACCUCACCCCUUGUGCAUCACCGCGUGGGGUCUCCCUCUUGGCUUGGCCUCGAGGGAGGCUCGCGCUUUUUUCACAAACNCCCUUUUAGUUUAGAAUGUCAUUCAUUUGCGAUCACACGCAAUCAAUACAACUUUCAACAACGGAUCUCUUGGCUCUCGCAUCGAUGAAGAACGCAGCGAAAUGCGAUACGUAAUGUGAAUUGCAGAAUUCAGUGAAUCAUCGAAUCUUUGAACGCACCUUGCGCCCCUUGGCAUUCCGAGGGGCACACCCGUUUGAGUGUCGUGAAAUUCUCAAACCUUCUUGGUUUUUGGACCAAGAUGGCUUUGGACUUUGGAGGCGUUUUGCUGGCUUUGCGAAAAGCCAGCUCCUUUCAAAUGCAUUAGUGGGGUCCACUUUGCCGAUCCCCAGGCGUGAUAAGAUGCUUUCUACGUCUUGGGAUUUGCUCUGUUCCUCGGGAACCUGCUUUCAAACCGUCUCGUGAGAGACACCGUUCGAGUUNGCUCGGCGCACGAACCUUGACCUCAAAUCGGGNGA
This 615-nucleotide ribosomal RNA is filed under the name Russula subnigricans. RNAcentral's name for it is "eukaryotic LSU rRNA". The stretch from base 210 to 363 matches the Rfam family "5.8S ribosomal RNA". The record is from RNAcentral. Lineage: Eukaryota; Fungi; Basidiomycota; Agaricomycetes; Russulales; Russulaceae.